This is a non-coding RNA of Pangasianodon hypophthalmus (striped catfish), 327 nucleotides long. Lineage: Eukaryota; Metazoa; Chordata; Actinopteri; Siluriformes; Pangasiidae. The record is from the annotation of a RefSeq genome assembly.
AUGUUGUCCGGUGCCGCGGUGAAGCCCUCUGUGUCUCUGCUCCCUCCCUCCUCUCUGCAGCUGUCUGAGGGAUCGGCCUCGCUGCUCUGCCUGCUGUCUGCCUACUCUCCACAGGGGGCGCUGGUGAGCUGGACAGUGGACGGCUCCCAGAUGAAGGACGGGGUUCUGACCAGCGCAGAAGAACAGAAGAAGGACGGUUACACACGCAGCAGCACCCUGACCCUCAGCAAAGCACUCUGGGAAAAGGGGGAGGAGUUUGUCUGUACGGUCUCCCAUGCCGGCGUCAAUCAUCCGGUCACGUUCAGAAAGAGCCAGUGUGAAGCCUAA